RNAcentral lists this ribosomal RNA (325 nucleotides) under uncultured eukaryote. Its description in RNAcentral is "partial 18S ribosomal RNA". It matches the Rfam family "Eukaryotic small subunit ribosomal RNA", at positions 1470 to 1796 of the family's 1831-position model. The record is from RNAcentral.
CCCCUAGAUGUUCUGGGCCGCACGCGCGCUACACUGAACAGUUCAACAAGUCUUAACCUUGGCCGAUAGGUCUGGGUAAUCUUUGAACGCUGUUCGUGAUUGGGAUAGACCUUUGCAAUUAUGGGUCUUCAACGAGGAAUUCCUAGUAAACGCAAGUCAUCAGCUUGCAUUGAUUACGUCCCUGCCCUUUGUACACACCGCCCGUCGCACCUACCGAUUGAAUGGUCCGGUGAAAUUCUCGGACGCGGACUUGCGAUGUUAAUUCGGAGCUUGACUGUGAAAGUUAAUUAAACCUUACCAUUUAGAGGAAGGUGAAGUCGUAACA